AGGAAGAUGUUGUUGUCCUAGAAAUGACUCUCCUGGUCACUGUGCACAAUACUGCAGCUACACCACCAUGGAGAAUGACACCAAGGAGAUCAUUCAUGUUGCCACCAUAGACAAGUGGCAAGCAUCAUGGAACUCUGUCGUCAUGGAGAAGGAGGGUUUCAUCCAGACUGGACAAGCUUACAUCAGAAAUAAAGCUAGUGGAGAUCUGCACAGAUGCUCAUGCCCAGAUUGGUGCCCUUAUGAACCCAGACAAAGGCAAAUACAAGGCCCUUGGAAUUCAUCACAGUCUGGAUAUGUGGCAUGGUGCGAAGAACCUUGCCAAAAAAAAUAGCAGCAGUAAGUGUAAUAACUGGCUA
Micropterus salmoides (largemouth bass) is the source of this 356-nucleotide long non-coding RNA. RefSeq lists it as uncharacterized. The record is from RefSeq and is a predicted model, not a curated record. The transcript has 3 exons. NCBI's taxonomy places the organism in Eukaryota, Metazoa, Chordata, Actinopteri, Centrarchiformes, Centrarchidae.